CGGAGGCCAUUGCUAUUGGGAUCCGAUUUAGCCAUGCUAGUCGCACGAGUUCAGACUCGUGGCGAAUAGCUCAGUAACACGUGGCCAAACUACCCUUCGGAACACAAUACCCUCGGGAAACUGAGGCUAAUAGUGUAUACCAUACCACCACUGGAAUGAGUGGUAUGCCAAACGCUCCGGCGCCGAAGGAUGUGGCUGCGGCCGAUUAGGUAGACGGUGGGGUAACGGCCCACCGUGCCAAUAAUCGGUAUGGGUCAUGAGAGUGAGAACCCAGAGACGGAAUCUGAGACAAGAUUCCGGGCCCU
This 305-nucleotide ribosomal RNA is filed under the name Halorubrum sp. TP009. Its description in RNAcentral is "bacterial SSU rRNA". It matches the Rfam family "Archaeal small subunit ribosomal RNA", at positions 18 to 324 of the family's 1478-position model. Lineage: Archaea; Methanobacteriati; Methanobacteriota; Halobacteria; Halobacteriales; Haloferacaceae. RNAcentral also lists the same sequence under 52 other names. The record is from RNAcentral.